CUUUAAGUGCCAAUAUUUACAAAUUCCCAAAGCCAAAACAAUGCAAAAUAUAGAUAUCUGGUCUUUUUAGGUGCAUUAGUUUGGUAGUUUAAUGUUUAGAAACAUUGAUAAAUACUAAACUAAUAUUUCAGAACAGAUACCUGCAUAUUUUUCAUGUAAAGUGAACAUUCUAUGCCGAAAAAUAAGAAUUAUUGACACCCUAAGACAAUUUUAAUUAUUUCAAUAUCAAAUCUAUCACUAAUUUAUGAGUUAAACAUAGGUUGCUCACAGUGUAAAAAUUUUAGUGAAGUAAUUAGUGUAAUUAAUUAAUUAUUCCAUAAUUGAAAUGCAGGUUAACAAACUUCUAUAUAUAAAAGUUUAAAAAAAUGUCCUUCAUUCAAACUGUGAACUCUAAGCCUAUAAAACUCUUCAAAGAACCCCAAGAUAUCAAACAAUCUUUUAUUUAGCUAAACCUACCCCCUACCUUCACUCUUAUUCAUACUUAAAUACUCAGUAUGCUUACAGCUUGGAAAAAAGCUAGAAAGCCUUAAUGGAUCACUGAUUUUAACUAAAGAGGUAGGUGCAUAUCCCUUAUAAAUGAAUUCAAAACAAUUUUUGUU
RNAcentral lists this long non-coding RNA (599 nucleotides) under Bos taurus (domestic cattle). Its description in RNAcentral is "long non-coding RNA NONBTAT012782". The record is from RNAcentral. Lineage: Eukaryota; Metazoa; Chordata; Mammalia; Artiodactyla; Bovidae.